UCCUCGACAAGCAGCGAUGGGACUCCUCGUCUUCCUCCUGGCGAGUUCGUCCGCCCCUUCGCCUGCUCCAAUUCUUUCCCUCGAAGCGACCCCUUUUACUUUACUUUCUCAGGUUUCCUCUCUUAAUUCCUCCCAUUAGAUCAGCGUUUUACUUUCUUCAAUUCCCCAUUGUGGAACCCUCGUCGUUGGUGAUAGAUGGGGUUCACCUUCUAGGACAAAGUCCAAUCCGUCCCAGUCCCCUGCCCCUUCUGAUUCUGAGCCUUCUCCCCUUUUCUCCCACCCAGGCUGCAAGCAGGUAACGGCCGCUUCUCCUUGCUCUCGCAUCAUCUCGCGUCUCAAUGUUUGGGCCAUCACGCUCUCCAAAUAGCUGGGCUAACUUGGUUUGUACGAAUUAGUCGCCGCGAUGGAGAGUUUCCUCGUAUUCGACAUGUUGAUCUAUCAAUCUAUCAUCUUAUACGUCCUACAGAAAUGUUUUGGUUGUUGUCGAUUACUGAUGUGUCUGUUGCAAUUGGCAGCUCGUUUGAAGAGGAAGCCUCUUUGUGGCAGCUUGUAGGUCGUUUGAGAGAGUAAAUUAUGUAAUUUGCGUGUUUGUGUUGUAUCUGUGGACCGGCUUAGGCCUUCUUCGGUAUAAAAAAUAGGCACACCUUUGUGUGUGUUUUCCUAAAAAAAAAAUGGCAGCUCGUCUCUCCGGCGCAAGUGGGGAAUGAGAUUACUCUAGACAACACUAAGCAUGGUGGUCGUUGCUAGACACCACCCACCAAAUUUGCUCCUUGAUUAUUUACUCAUUUACUGCUAAUUAGUUUACUUCGAUUUUGUCAGAUGUAAGCAACUUGGAUCCCCCACCGAUGGAGAGUUUGGAUUCUCUAUACACAUGGAUUUCUCACAGGGGCCUUCAGGAAACCAUUGGUUCAAAGUCAUGAAAGAAGGUAGUCUUAGUAUUCUUGCUUCUUUUUUGUUUGUUGAAUCGAAAUUUACAAAUAGGGUGAAACUUCAAGCUCUUGCAAAAUGCAUCGAAACAUUGAGAAAUUCUGCAUAUAUUAGAAUAUAAUGAAAGAAAAGACUCAUGCCAUGAUUUUCAAAUCUUUUCAAUUUAGUAGUCAAAGUUUCUCGAUGAGGACAAUUAAUUCGGUUGUUGUAGAAGGACUCUAUUAUGGAUUUUAUUUACCACAAUAUAACCAAGAACAAGGGAUAAUUAAUACGCUAUUUGAGAAUUUGAUUGAAAUACCCUUUAUGUGUGUUUUUACAUAGAAAUACUACUUUUGCUUACUUUGGUGAUCCAUGAUAUAUAAAGAUAAGCUUUUGUGUCGAAAUGUUCUUACUAUUAUUCUAUUAUCUUAUUUAGACUGAAAAGUUGGGAAGAGGUUGUUAAUAAGAGAUUUCGCAGGGAAAUAGGCAAAAGAAAUUGCCAUCCAAUAUUUAAUAACUGAUCGAUUCUAAUCCUGGGUAAAGUCCAUCUUAUUGUCAAUUCAUCCGACAAGAUAAGCUCCAGCGCCUAAAAUUGUUCAGCAAAAGAGUAAUUAAGGGGUGCGGCAUAAUUGUACAGUGUCCAAUACCUGCUUGUAGUAAUUUUAUGUGCAAUUUGGGCAUCAUUGUUGUCUUCUUCAGUAGCAAUCUGAAGCUGCUGCCCAUUGCUUGACCUGGCUGCUGCAGUCUUCAUAAUUGGCUGCAAAAUUUGCCAGUUAUUGGAUUUAGUCAUUCUGAAGUCUUGCAUAUUAGUAGUAUUCAAAAUUUGCUAGUUAUUGGAUUUUGGCAGUUACACGUGUGUUGUGCCUUGUUCCCGCUGAUGACAUAUUUUUUUGACGUUAAACUGUAAGAGCUGCGCGAUCACAGUCUGACAGUAUAUAGAUAUAUAAUUUUAACAAAGUGAGAUACCAAAGUGCGAACUUCGAGGAUCUAACUCCGGUGGUCUGCCAGCAUACCUCGCUGGCUAACCACCCAAGCUAUGCUUGGUUCUCCGCUGAUGACAUAUUGUUAUUGGCUUGUAAUGACUGGUCUUGGGUUGUUGUUUCAGUUAUUUUAGUCGUCACCUAAAGCAAAUUGCAUGGCACGGAUGUCAUCAGGUAUGUUUCUUUCUUGUUUCAGUAUCAUUUUGGUUGAAAGGGGUCGGUGUCAUAAGCUGUGGUUGAAGGGAUGAGGUAUGUUUGUUUCAUGUGGUAGUCACUUCUCACGCCAUAGCUGUUUUCAAGGCUGACAUCUGUUUUCAAAGUGCACUAGAUGUCUGCUCAAAGUAAUAGGUUCAGGUUUCAUUUGUUAGUGUCAGCUGUGUAAGGUUUCAGAUAUAUGUUGGAGCUUCCUUGGGGCUCAUUUUGAAUAGCAAAAGUGUACUAAUAAGUUCGAAGGUCCUUGAUACUGCUGUAUGCUAUGGUUUGCAUCCUAUAUGGUACUGCAGUUUUAAUCUGAUAGUUCAUUAGAUCACUCUAUUUGUUGUGUGUGUGUACAGACUGCCCCUUUCUGUGUGCAGAUUGAGGGUGUGGGGUGGUUUGGAAGGCAAAGGCUGGUGGACCAUCCAUGGAUCGGCCAUGGCGUGGCUGCACAGAUCGUGUAAUUGGCAAGAUUUCCGUGGUCCAUAAAGAGAAGGGAAAUCGAGGACGAAGCUGCAGAAGAUGUGCAUAGGGAAGGUAAAGUAACUAGCAUACAAGAACAUCCAGAAAACUAACCUGAGAUAUCACUUGCUACAAAGGUAUUUCUUUUUUGUCAGGCUGCUGUUUUCAGAUCUUUUUGUGGUUUAUCUUCUGUAUCAAAAACUAAUUUGAAACACGAUUGCUUCAAAAAAUUGUUUACAGUUUGUUCCUUAUGCUGUUGGUUGAUAUACUUCAGGUGGUGGAGUGGUGCUCUAGCUGAAAAGUAUUGAAAUUCUAGGUUUUAUGACGAUAUUGCAAUGUUUACAAACCAAAUAAUUUUUCAGACAUGGAGCCGGAAUAAUAUGCGUGCUGCCUUUAGUUAUAGGUACACCCAUUGCUCUGAGAAUAGCAAAUUGGUCGGUGGCUUACUGGCUUAAAUUUCCAACCUCUCGCAUUUAUUAAUUAAUUAGUAUUAUUACCAUGCACAGUUGUUAAGAAAAAAAUCUAUAAGCAAGGAAGGUGCGCAGCUUGCUUUUAGAUGUUCUGUGCCUCAUUUUCCCGUAAAAGAUCAACGUCUUCAAGCAAAUGCUUAGUGAUUACGAAUAUUAAAUAUUAGUGCAUUUGUUUCUCGGAAUGAACACAUUAUGAUUGAUUAUCUUGUUAUCUUGAUGGUUUAUUACUGUUAUAUAGUUAUGAAACAUGUAGGAUCUUGCUGUCAUAACUUCGCACAAAUGAGACAACAGCUUAUGAUGUUUACUCGUAUAUUUUGAUAGCGUGGUGCAUGUUAAAAUAAUUUUCAGGAACAUGAUAAAGAUCACAAGGCGCACUUUGUUUGCACAUGUGCUAUCAAAAUAAUACCUUAAUAUAGAAACUGUUCACUGCAGGCCAACAUACCAAAAGAGAUAUCCGUGUACCUGAAUAAGAUGAGGCCAACAUCGAUCUUUGAUUAUUGUGAGUGCAUCUCAAGCAUAUUCUUCAUUAUAAUUUAUUAAUUUAAUUAAUUGAAAAGUUAUAGUUGUUAAAUUGCAACUUAUGUUGAUCUCACAGUACUUUGUCUAACUUUGACAUUUUAGAUGUGUUGGUGCUGAAUCAGAUAUAGGUACAUGGAUCUAAAAUUAUAAUGAACUUCAAAUGUAAAUGAAAUUAAACUUCCUGCAGUGCUAGUAUGGAUUUCAGCUUGAUCCUAGAUGCACACCAUCGGCAAUUCGCAAGUGUUCUAGUUACUCGUGGGGCAAUUAGGUGAUCCAAAAUAAUGGUAUUCCCUCCGAUCCAUAUUAAUUGUCUCAAAAUUUGUCUAAAUAUGGAUGUAUCUAUGCAUAAAAUGCAUCUAGAUACAUGUAAUAUUUCGACAAUUAAUGUGGAUCGGAUGGAGUACCUUUUCUAGUCCUUAGAUACCUUCCUUAGACCAGAGGAGCUGAUCCAUGUCUUGUAACUAAAUCAUAGCCUUUUAUAAAAUUAGACCCAUAACAUAAUCAAUGGUGGAGAUAAUUUAGCCUAUAUGAACUGACAUGUUUUAUAAUUAUAUAAUAGUUAUGGAUUUAGGAACCCACACGACAGAAUGUCCCCAUUGCAUUGUGUUUGACAGUUAAGGUGCUCAACGGGGUGUAACACAGAUUUAAGCAAUGUCCUUACAGACCUUCGCAAGGCCAAAUUAAAGCAAGGACGUUCUUUAAAUCUAUGUUACACCCUGUUGAGCACGUUAACGGUCAAACAUUAUGCAAUGUGGUCAUUCUGUCACGUGGGUUCCUAGAUCCAUGACUAUGUUAUAUAAUUAUAAAGCCACUUCUGUUCAUAUAGGCUAAAUUAUCUCCAUCAUUGAUUAUGUUGUGGAUCUAAUUUUAUAAAAGGCUAUGAUUUAGUUGGGAAAAAAAAUCUGUUGAGUACAAGUAUGGUACAUCUUUUGGCCCAUAUGCAUCAAUUGGAUCUAGGAAGUGCUCGUGAACAGAGGAAACCCGAAAUAGUCAGUUUCUUGUCAUCUUUGACAAAAUAGGGAACCUUUGACCAUUCAGCCUUCACCAAUUAAGCACCAUGAAAUCUGGAUCAAUGAGGGGAUGAAGUUUAUCCUCAAGAUAAGAGGUCAAUUCAAACUUAUUAGGCUUCAUUAGAAAGGAUCGGGACCCACUAGACAACAUGGACAUAUAUGUAAUUGAGUGUGAAAGGGCAUUUCGAUCCCUAAUGAGUUUUGGUGUUAAUAACAACAUAACUUGUGGACUAA
Molecule: long non-coding RNA, 4776 nt
Organism: Brachypodium distachyon (stiff brome)
Lineage: Eukaryota; Viridiplantae; Streptophyta; Magnoliopsida; Poales; Poaceae
Exons: 3
Source: RefSeq, a predicted model, not a curated record